Molecule: ribosomal RNA, 1820 nt
Filed under: wastewater metagenome
Description: bacterial LSU rRNA
Rfam family: Bacterial large subunit ribosomal RNA
Source: RNAcentral
AACUUGGAAAUAGCUGGUUCUCUCCGAAAACUAUUUAGGUAGUGCCUCAAGUAUCACCAUCGGGGGUAGAGCACUGUUAUGGCUAGGGGGUCAUCGCGACUUACCAAACCAUUGCAAACUCCGAAUACCGAUGAGUGCGAGCUUGGGAGACAGACGUCGGGUGCUAACGUCCGGCGUCAAGAGGGAAACAACCCAGACCGCCAGCUAAGGUCCCAAAGAUUGGCUAAGUGGAAAACGAAGUGGGAAGGCUAAAACAGUCAGGAUGUUGGCUUAGAAGCAGCCAUCAUUUAAAGAAAGCGUAAUAGCUCACUGAUCGAGUCGUCCUGCGCGGAAGAUGUAACGGGGCUAAGCCAGUUACCGAAGCUGCGGAUUCACAGUUUACUGUGAGUGGUAGGAGAGCGUUCUGUAAGCCUGCGAAGGUGUCUUGUAAAGGAUGCUGGAGGUAUCAGAAGUGCGAAUGCUGACAUGAGUAGCGAUAAUGGGGGUGAAAAGCCCCCACGCCGUAAGCCCAAGGUUUCCUGUUCAACGUUCAUCGGAGCAGGGUGAGUCGGCCCCUAAGGCGAGGCAGAGAUGCGUAGCUGAUGGGAAGCAGGUUAAUAUUCCUGCACCGUCGUAUGAUGCGAUGGGGGGACGGAUCGCGGAAGGUUGUCAGGCGGUUGGAAGAGCCUGUUCUUGACUUGUAGAAGGUGCUUAGGCAAAUCCGGGCACGUAAUUCAAGGGGUUGAGACGAGACACUUAGGUGUCGAAGCAAUCGGAAGUGGUUCCAAGAAAAGCCUCUAAGCUUCAGUCAUACGAGACCGUACCGCAAACCGACACAGGUGGGCGAGAUGAGUAUUCUAAGGCGCUUGAGAGAACUCGGGAGAAGGAACUCGGCAAAUUGGUACCGUAACUUCGGGAAAAGGUACGCCCCGGUAGCUUGAUUGGUUUACUCCAUGAGGGUGAAAGGGUUGCAAUAAACUGGUGGCUGCGACUGUUUAAUAAAAACACAGCACUCUGCAAACACGAAAGUGGACGUAUAGGGUGUGACGCCUGCCCGGUGCUGGAAGGUUAAGUGAUGGGGUGCAAGCUCUUGAUCGAAGCCCCAGUAAACGGCGGCCGUAACUAUAACGGUCCUAAGGUAGCGAAAUUCCUUGUCGGGUAAGUUCCGACCUGCACGAAUGGCGUAACGAUGGCCACACUGUCUCCUCCCGAGACUCAGCGAAGUUGAAAUGUUUGUGAUGAUGCAAUCUACCCGCGGCUAGACGGAAAGACCCCAUGAACCUUUACUGUAGCUUUGCAUUGGACUUUGAACCAAUCUGUGUAGGAUAGGUGGGAGGCUUUGAAGCGGGGACGCCAGUUCUCGUGGAGCCAUCCUUGAAAUACCACCCUGGUUUGUUUGAGGUUCUAACCUUGGCCCGUUAUCCGGGUCGGGGACAGUGCAUGGUAGGCAGUUUGACUGGGGCGGUCUCCUCCCAAAGUGUAACGGAGGAGUUCGAAGGUACGCUAGGUACGGUCGGACAUCGUGCUAAUAGUGCAAUGGCAUAAGCGUGCUUAACUGCGAGACUGACAAGUCGAGCAGAUGCGAAAGCAGGACAUAGUGAUCCGGUGGUUCUGUAUGGAAGGGCCAUCGCUCAACGGAUAAAAGGUACUCUGGGGAUAACAGGCUGAUUCCGCCCAAGAGUUCAUAUCGACGGCGGAGUUUGGCACCUCGAUGUCGGCUCAUCACAUCCUGGGGCUGUAGCCGGUCCCAAGGGUAUGGCUGUUCGCCAUUUAAAGUGGUACGUGAGCUGGGUUUAAAACGUCGUGAGACAGUUUGGUCCCUAUCUGCCGUGGGCGUUGGA